AUACCCUGCGGAAUGCUCAGGUCCGCCGCAUCUCCUGGGUCCGUAGGGUCGGCCGGCGCGCAAUUGGUCCUGGAGUGGCCUCCUCGAAACGCCAAUAGCCGCCGGCCGCCUU
This 112-nucleotide small RNA is filed under the name bioreactor metagenome. Its description in RNAcentral is "EcpR1". It matches the Rfam family "EcpR1". Rfam says of the family: Perviously named SmelC291, SmrC10, or Sra33. According to its overproduction phenotype it was renamed Elongated Cell Phenotype RNA1. The record is from Rfam by way of RNAcentral.